This 253-nucleotide ribosomal RNA is filed under the name uncultured bacterium. RNAcentral describes it as "partial 16S ribosomal RNA". It matches the Rfam family "Bacterial small subunit ribosomal RNA", at positions 524 to 776 of the family's 1533-position model. The record is from RNAcentral.
UACGAAGGGGGCUAGCGUUGCUCGGAAUUACUGGGCGUAAAGGGCGCGUAGGCGGCGCAUUUAGUCAGGCGUGAAAGUCCUGGGCUCAACCUGGGAACUGCGCUUGAUACGGGUGUGCUAGAGGAUGGAAGAGGCUCGCGGAAUUCCCAGUGUAGAGGUGAAAUUCGUAGAUAUUCGGCGGAACACCAGUGGCGAAGGCGACUCACUGGCCCGAUACUGACGCUGAGGCGCGAAAGCGUGGGGAGCAAACAGG